This 490-nucleotide ribosomal RNA is filed under the name uncultured bacterium. RNAcentral's name for it is "partial 16S ribosomal RNA". It matches the Rfam family "Bacterial small subunit ribosomal RNA", at positions 30 to 507 of the family's 1533-position model. The record is from RNAcentral.
AUUGAACGCUGGCGGCAGGCCUAACACAUGCAAGUCGAACGGUAACAGGAAGCAGCUUGCUGCUUUGCUUUCGAGUGGCGGGCGGGUGAGAAAUGUCUGUGAAACUGCCUGAUGGAGGGGGAUAACUACUGGAAACGGUACCUAAUACCGCAUAACGUCUCAAGCCCAAAGAGGGGGACCUUAGGGCCUCUUGCCAUCGGAUUUUCCCAGGUGGGAUUAGCUAGUAGGUGGGGUAACGGCUCACCUAGGCCACGAUCCCUAGCUGGUCUGAGAGGGUGACCAGCCACACUGGAACUGAGACACGGUCCAGACUCCUACGGGAGGCAGCAGUGGGGAAUAUUGCACAAUGGGCGCAAGCCUGAUGCAGCCAUGCCGCGUGUAUGAAGAAGGCCUUCGGGUUGUAAAGUACUUUCAGCGGGGAGGAAGGGAGUAAAGUUAAUCUCUUUGCUCAUUGACGUUACCCGAAGAAGAAGCACCGGCUAACUCCGUG